This 2852-nucleotide long non-coding RNA is filed under the name Musa acuminata (dwarf banana). RNAcentral describes it as "long non-coding RNA (MACU_LNC008070)". Lineage: Eukaryota; Viridiplantae; Streptophyta; Magnoliopsida; Zingiberales; Musaceae. The record is from RNAcentral.
CGGGCUUGGUAACUUAGGUGAGAAUAGGAGUUAAGGAAGGCAGGCUUAGGUGCCCGGGUUCGAAGUCUUAUCAGCCGUGGGUCAAAGCAGUAUUUACUAAUGAGUAGUCGAACGUACCUUUCCUCUACCAGUUGCCCGUGCCUUCGUCCGUGGUUGAUGCACAUGUGUCUACGAUUCCUUGGUCAGUUGCUCGUACCUACUCGACCCACCAGUUGACCAACCUUAUCCGAUUAUUCUGUUAUGAUUAUAGUCAACUUCUUAUUAUUUGCUUAGCUAAAUGAGAUGAAAAAGGUGGAAAUACAUCGAUGCGUAACACAAGCUAUUUUAUUACUUAUCCUAUUGACUACAAAUACCCGGACAGGUUUGAUGAUCUAUCCCUUCUCCGAGCAGAGAUAUAGGAUGCAAGUAAACAGUAGCAGACUAAUACAUAUCAUAUCAAUAUCCUACGAGAAAACUAAUAUCAAUGCGUAUCAGUACAAUCAAUACAAGCAAACAGAAUCAUUAAUUUCAUAAAUACAGAAGAAGUAAACACGGCAAGCAACGUAUGGACAAGUAACUAAGCGACGUAUGGACAAGACCAAACAAACCGAUAAUCAACAUCGCGGGGGUCCUCAAAGCCUUAUUUCUUUGACUUUCUGAAUGGUUCCCUGGUUGCUCUAGUAGGUGUGUUUGUGUCUCGCUAACCCCAACAACAAGUGGGCCCGUGAGCUGCAAAUAAUUCUCAUUCAAAAGCAGCAUGAAAUAACUCCUUACUUCUCUCAUUUAAAAGCAGCAUGAAAUAACAACUCAAAUAUCUUUGAAAAACCCUUAUUUUGAGUCUCAUUUGGGCUGUUAUCUUUCUUUUCAACCUACCUCUACUGUGUUUAAAACUGACACAGCCUUCUUUCACUCUGCCCUGCCCUAUACUAGCUAGCAGAUUUACACCACUACCGGAAAGAAUUGAUACUAUGCUGAUAAUAACGAAAAUAUGGCUAAAGAACUCAACUCGGACUGGGAACUCCCAAGCGAACUCUCAGUGUAUUAACUCUUACGUCCCUAACUCAUAUUCGUGCUGCCCUGUCGAUUAGUCUGUAACUACCAACUACGAAACAGCUAUUCCUGUCUUUUCGCCUACCUUUGCUAUCUUAUUCUACAGCCGCCAAAAGCAGAUAUCAGAACCGACACUACUAAGGGAAAGAGACUGAAUCCAAUGCUCAAACUAUCCUCUAACUAUUGCUUAUAGAGCCAUAAAACACUCAGCCUUCAACCGGUGCCAGCAAGCCCUACUACUUUAUACAACUAUUCGAACUUACAUUACUACCUUUUAGUCUUGCUUGACUUUCCCCCGUUCUGUAGUUCCCACCCCUAACUCCAGGUAAGAUCUAUUGCAUCUAGUAUAUCUAUUGCAUCUAGUAUAAUCGUAUUGAAACCAAAACUCAGUAGUACUAGAAGAAAGUCACUUGGGCGGUAUAAGAUCAAAGUAGAGACAAAGGGAAUCAAACAAAAGUCAAUCAAAGAGUAGGUAUCGGAUCGGAGUGAAUCAAACCCAUGAGUAGAAGAACAGGACCAGGGCUCACAAGACUAAUGCCGUAUGGGCUUACUCCAAACAGGUAAUUCAGCUGCUCACUGCAGAACUCAACUUAAGAAAACAAGGCUCUACAUAUCAAUACGAAAGAAUGAAACCACAACCUAUAAGAAUGACCUUACUAACCCAAUAGUCCACGCCCCCUACUUGUUUUCUAUUCUGGCUAUCCAUACCUUUUCUUAUGAGUUUUUGAAUUAGUCCCUUAUACGAUUAUUCCGACUAAUCGCUUAAGUACAGAAUCAAACAAAGAGCUAUCAGACUCAUAGUAGUCGUGCACUUAACGCAAAAUGCUACAUGUGCUAAGGUGUAUUCGGAGUAGUGGUAGUAAGCACAAGUGAAUCAAACCCAUGAGUAGAAGAAAUCAAUCCCGCAAUAAAGGGCAAGGUUAGAUGGUAAAUAAGAAUGCAUGGGCUCAGAAAUAGGCUAGUAUAAGAACAAUAGUCCUAUAGCUGGUGUACACGUCCAGCCCCUAUAACAUCAACUUCUCCCGUCAGUUAUUACUUGAGAGUUUAGAGCGCCUGUCGAAGAGUUCCUCGGAUUCCUUGGAUUCUUAUUGUAUGGAUGCUCUAAGACUAAUAGCAAUAGUGGUAAGAUGUAGUGUAUCCAUUAAUAGUCUAUUAGUAGUACGAUCUAGGCCAUAAACUAUGCUACUACGGCAUACUCCGUAGAGAGGCAAACUUGCUCAGAUAGGAAAGAAUUGCACGGGUAAGUAAAAGCUCCGUUAUGUAAUCAUACCCUUUAGUACAAACUCAUUACUGCCUUGCUCAACUUGCCCUUUGCUUACUUUCAUGCUUUAACUACUGCCAGCAGCUGACGCUGCCCUCGAUCUAGGGCUAAGUUAAUGCUCCCCUAUUCCCGCCCCCAACAAUACGAAUGAAACACAAGAAAGGGAACCAACCCUCCAAGUAAGAUGAACUACCUACCCGAUAAGACCUGCUCUCUACUGGCUACUAGCCUAUCCUGCCUUGCUUCCAAACUGAUGUUGCUGUUAACAGAACAGGACUUUACUCAAUGCAAAAAGACAAGUCACUACGAUGUUACUCCCAACUCGAAACAUAGGAUCUAACUUCGGCUUCUCAGAAUAGAGAGCUGCCCCAACACAGACUAUAUCUAUACCAGCAAUAAGAAUUGGACUCAUCGGGAACAUAAUCCAACUCGGGACAGGGAAGCUAAUGAGAACUUUAGCGCUAAGAACUCGGGUUGUAACCAGUGCUUUAAAGAUUGGAAUCAAUAAGCGGGAAGCCAACUACUAAUCAAGAGAAUAAACCAAAGAAAUAGGACUUCCUAU